GACGAACGUUGGCGGCGUGCCUAAUACAUGCAAGUCGAGCGAGCGGAACUAACAGAUUUACUUCGGUAAUGACGUUAGGAAAGCGAGCGGCGGAUGGGUGAGUAACACGUGGGGAACCUGCCCCAUAGUCUGGGAUACCACUUGGAAACAGGUGCUAAUACCGGAUAAGAAAGCAGAUCGCAUGAUCAGCUUUUAAAAGGCGGCGUAAGCUGUCGCUAUGGGAUGGCCCCGCGGUGCAUUAGCUAGUUGGUAAGGUAAAGGCUUACCAAGGCGAUGAUGCAUAGCCGAGUUGAGAGACUGAUCGGCCACAUUGGGACUGAGACACGGCCCAAACUCCUACGGGAGGCAGCAGUAGGGAAUCUUCCACAAUGGACGCAAGUCUGAUGGAGCAACGCCGCGUGAGUGAAGAAGGUUUUCGGAUCGUAAAGCUCUGUUGUUGGUGAAGAAGGAUAGAGGUAGUAACUGGCCUUUAUUUGACGGUAAUCAACCAGAAAGUCACGGCUAACUACGUGCCAGCAGCCGCGGUAAUACCUAAGUGGCAAGCGUUGUCCGGAUUUAUUGGGCGUAAGCGAGCGCAGGCGGAAGAUAAGUCUGAUGUGAAAGCCCUCGGCUUAACCGAGGAACUGCAUCGGAAACUGUUUUUCUUGAGUGCAUUAGAGGAGAGUGGAACUCCAUGUGUAGCGGUGGAAUGCGUAGAUAUAUGGAAGAACACCAGUGGCGAAGGCGGCUCUCUGGUCUGCAACUGACGCUGAGGCUCGAAAGCAUGGGUAGCGAACAGGAUUAGAUACCCUGGUAGUCCAUGCCGUAAACGAUGAGUGCUAAGUGUUGGGAGGUUUCCGCCUCUCAGUGCUGCAGCUAACGCAUUAAGCACUCCGCCUGGGGAGUACGACCGCAAGGUUGAAACUCAAAGGAAUUGACGGGGGCCCGCACAAGCGGUGGAGCAUGUGGUUUAAUUCGAAGCAACGCGAAGAACCUUACCAGGUCUUGACAUCUAGUGCCAUUUGUAGAGAUACAAAGUUCCCUUCGGGGACGCUAAGACAGGUGGUGCAUGGCUGUCGUCAGCUCGUGUCGUGAGAUGUUGGGUUAAGUCCCGCAACGAGCGCAACCCUUGUUAUUAGUUGCCAGCAUUAAGUUGGGCACUCUAAUGAGACUGCCGGUGACAAACCGGAGGAAGGUGGGGAUGACGUCAAGUCAUCAUGCCCCUUAUGACCUGGGCUACACACGUGCUACAAUGGGCAGUACAACGAGAAGCGAGCCUGCGAAGGCAAGCGAAUCUCUGAAAGCUGUUCUCAGUUCGGACUGCAGUCUGCAACUCGACUGCACGAAGCUGGAAUCGCUAGUAAUCGCGGAUCAGCACGCCGCGGUGAAUACGUUCCCGGGCCU
RNAcentral lists this ribosomal RNA (1383 nucleotides) under uncultured bacterium. Its description in RNAcentral is "bacterial SSU rRNA". It matches the Rfam family "Bacterial small subunit ribosomal RNA", at positions 28 to 1381 of the family's 1533-position model. The record is from RNAcentral.